CGAGAAACAACAUUGAAUAGGGGGCAAGGGGUGACAAAUUUCAUGAAAGAACGUCUCAAUGUUAAUAUUAACCUUACAAAGGUUAGGUGUCCACAUAAUUUUUGCCAGGAUUGUCUGAAAAUGACCUAAAAAAAAAUAUCGAUAAUUUUCACCCAAAGCAGGCCUUUUACUAUAAAUUUUUGAUGCUGCCAUUGCUUUAGGGUAACAAACAAAUUGUUUAAACUGGUUU
Molecule: non-coding RNA, 229 nt
Organism: Paramuricea clavata
Lineage: Eukaryota; Metazoa; Cnidaria; Anthozoa; Malacalcyonacea; Plexauridae
Source: the annotation of a GenBank genome assembly